UACGUAGGGUGCAAGCGUUGUCCGGAAUUAUUGGGCGUAAAGAGCUCGUAGGCGGUUUGUCGCGUCUGCUGUGAAAACGCGAGGCUCAACCUCGCGCCUGCAGUGGGUACGGGCAGACUAGAGUGCGGUAGGGGAGAUUGGAAUUCCUGGUGUAGCGGUGGAAUGCGCAGAUAUCAGGAGGAACACCGAUGGCGAAGGCAGAUCUCUGGGCCGUAACUGACGCUGAGGCGCGAAAGCGUGGGGGAGCAAACAGG
Molecule: ribosomal RNA, 254 nt
Filed under: uncultured bacterium
Lineage: Bacteria
Description: partial 16S ribosomal RNA
Rfam family: Bacterial small subunit ribosomal RNA
Source: RNAcentral